UCUUGGAGCUUCUGGAGAUCACCACGUGCCUGCUUGUGGCCUCGGCGGGUGGAGAUUGUAUUGGCUGGGCCGUGAAUUGCUCGCCAGUCUUCCGUCGUCGCCGCCGUACCACGGACCACCGCGACCGGGAGCAACUACGUCUACAGCUUGGUAAGAACCACCCCAAUCCGCUCCGCGUUGAUGUAUGCAUCGUGUAGGACUGGUCGAUUCUAGGUAUGGGGCGGUGAUUGGGCGGCGGUCGCCGCGGUGGCGAGAGCGCCACCGCGGGAUGGUCGGUGCCGCCACGACUGCGUGCAGAGUUGGGAUAAUUGGAUCUGACCGUUCGAUCGCAAGGAGACGGUCUCGAUUUAGUCCACGUGCUGCUAAGGCAUAGUUUAGAUCUACACCGUUGGAUCUCGGGUGUGCGGAUCAGAUUUUGUGUUGGUGUGGCACACUGCGGGCCGCGGGAUCGUGAUCCAAGCGUGGGCGUGGCGUACCUAUUCGGGUGCACGCUCGAUCUAAUCUAAAUCGUUAGAAUUCGAUCCGACGGCGGGGAAACAAUGGCACCCCUUCGGCUGGGUAUUCUUCUUAAAAAGCCCCUACGAUUUCCAGAAAACAACCCGCCAUCCCCGCUGACUGUUCUCUACGUCUUAGACAACUUGCGCCGUAGCCCCUAGGGUUUCCGUAAAUAGUGCGCACAGUCCAAAGUGUGGGUAAAUCAGUGAAAAUAUUUAUAAAUUGAUUUGUGACUAUAGGAAUAAUUGUAGAAACUUAUUUUAUUCAUAAAAAAUCAUAUGUGGUCCAAAUUAAUCCAUUCUAGUUCCUAUAAUUUUGUAUUAAUUAUGUUUAUCCCUUGGUAACACUGUUUUAACAUGAAAGCCAUAUUGAAAUUAAUAUCCUAAUUAAUUUGUUAUCCAACACUUAAAACUUCAUAAAUUCAUAACUCCUUCAUUUUAAUUCCGAUUUGACUCGUUCCAGUUGUGUUAGUUUCGUAUAAGUAUUUACUACGCAGUAACAACAUUGAUUAUACCAUGUCUCAUUAUUUUAUAAUUAGAUCUUUAUUUAAUCUAUGUUGGUUAGUCUUGUUAAUCUACUUAUCAUUAUAAUCUAAUAGAAUAAAUCUAUGGUCAAGUUAUAACUUAGAUUAAGUUGAGGUAUUUAUUUAUAGAAUAAUCUCUCAUAUUUAUAAUAUAGUUUAAUAUUUUAAUCACACAAAUCUUUUAUAAAAUCAUAAGCCCUUAAUCGACUCCGAUUUUAGUGGUUCUCGUUCCCACUAUCUCGUAGCAACACAUAGAUUAUUAUUAUUCAGUUUGUACUUAUGUUUGGUGUAAUGUUAAUUUUAUCUAUACCAUGUUUGUUUGUAUUGCUACGACUAGCGCGAGGACACGUGUCAUCUGAAAAGCAAGUUGGUACAUGGAAUCUCAAGUGCCAGGCAAGUUGUGCCCUUGAUUCACUUUUGUUAUCCAAUAAUGUUCUUUAUAAUCAUUUACCAUGCAUAGGUUUAAUUUUGAUGGGACCCAAUAGGUCACUCUAGUCUGUUUAUCCAUUUUACCUUGUUUACCCCUGAAUCACAUGGUUAGUUUUGCUAUUGCUUUAUAUGGUUUUGGGUUAAUAUUUCAUUAUAUCCAUGUUCUAGUUAUUCUGUUAUUUUACUUAUGUUCAUGUCAAGAUGUCACACCCGACUUUAAGGAACAAAGCCAGGUGCAUCUCAUACAUGUGCCAAGAGGACAACAUAUAUAAUAACAGAGUGUGUAGAGAUAAAUGUCACAAAACAUCAGAGUAUUUAUUACAUAGCGGAAGACUUAUUACAAAAUAAAAGAAUAAAUAUAAAACGAACUAAGGAUCGACAGCGCCAAUGUCAACUGAGAUACGCCACCUAGAUCAGAUCAAACUCCUCGCCUUGUGGUUCCUCCUGAACCACCUGUUCUUCUCCUAUGGGGGGGUGUGAGACAGCAAGGGUGAGCUCACACAUGAUCAUAGCUCAACAAGUUGUGGGGAACCAGUGGACAUGGACUCACUAAGGUGGGAGUUCAUGUUAUGUGUAAGGCUAAAUCAAUGACGGGGAUUAAAGCUGAGCAUUGCUUUUAUGUAGUUGGUCAAACUUUUAUUAGCAGUUACUAAAUGUAAGUAAAUACCAAACCUUAAGUAAAGUAAUAGAACAAAUUAAUAAUAAACCCAUGCAAUGCAAAUGACAAAAUUGAAUUUAAGUUCCAUAAUUUAAACAUCAGAGAGUCCUAAGCUGCUCAUGACCGUGAGCUCGGCUAGUAUACCAGUUUUACACUCUGCAGAGGUUGUACCCUUUACCCACAAGUCAUGUUACCCAUCUGCCAAGGGGUUGCGACUCCCAUACACCUCUACCUAGGAAGCGCGGCAGGGCAACACUACGAGGCCUUUACAAAGUUCCACUAGCUUCCGAAAACCCGCUACAGUUUAUGGGAAGAGCACUUGCAAGAAUCCCCCGUCUGACCGCCAUCGCAGCUAAAUCAACCCGAGAACCUCCUUGCAUGCAACUCCCCUACUGCCCUUGCCCCAUUCGGGUAAGGUAGUCUUCCACUAGCUUUUCUAAUUAGUCAGCCAAGGGCGUCCCAUUAAACCCUUGUGGUGGCACGUGUUUCUCAAGUUAAGCUCUAUGUUCCAAUUAACAUUAAUGAACUUGACAUGAACAUAAAUAGAAUAACAAGAAUAAUUGGAACAUAGAUAUAAUAAAUGAUUAUCCCAAAACCAUGUAAAGCAAUAGCAAACUACCCAAGUGAUUCAGGGGUACACAAGGUAAUGAGAUAAACAAUCUAGGGUGACCUAUCGGGUCCCAUCAAAAUUAACCUAUGCAUGAGUAAAUGAUAUUAAAGAACAUUAUUGGGUAAAAAGUGGUCAAGGGCACAACUUGCCUUCAAUGAGCUCCUGCUCAGCUACUUCUAUCUGCUGCUCACCAGGAUCCUCAGUCACGGGCUCUUCUACUCGCCACAAUACAAACAAGCACAAUAUACAGGGAAAAUCAACAUCACACCAAACAUGUAAACAAAAUACACAGUAAUAAUCUACAUAUUAAAAUAAAAUCCUAGGAACAGGAAUCGUAAUUUUUGGAGUUAUAGAUUUUAAGUUAUGGAUUUUCAAAGGUUUUAUGUGUUUAAAAUAGGAUUAAGUGUGGGAUUAAUUUUCUUACUGUGGUCAUGACAAAACAGAGGCUUUAAGGGAUAGAGAAUAAAAUUACAAAAUUUUAGAAAGUGGAAUGGCUCAAUUUGGAUCAAAAAUGGAAUUUCUAUGAGUUUUACAAGUUAUAGCACUUACUUUCAUAUUAAAUAUUCAAUUUCUAAUUCAUUUAUAACAUUUAAAUGAGCUCUGGACCGGGCGCAACAUUUGCAGAAAAUGCAGGGGUCUUGGGGGAACUUUCCGAAGACACAACGCACAGCUAUAUAGGACGGCGGGUAGAUUUCUAUAAACUACAGGGACUCUUUUGAAUGUUUGCUCGGCCGAAGGGGUACGGGGUGAUCACCGCCGUUGGAUUGGAUAUGGGCGCGCCAGAUUAAAACACUACUCCAGCGAACCGGUACUCAGUGUGACCCCUUGGAUUCAAAUCCGACGACCUAGAUUUUAAACACACAGAUCUCACCGUAGCCGCAGGAUAUGAGAUCUACGAUUCAUUUUCCCCACGCGCGAGGGGUUACGGAAGAUCUAAUCCAAGCCGCAUAAUGUCGAUCUAACGGCUAGAGGCUUUCCCCCCACUCCCCUUUCUCCUACCGGCGUCAACACGACGGCGCCUGACUGAGGCACAGCGGCGCCAUUACCUCGGACCCGAAUCCCAUCACCCUGUGCCCGAAGCUCAAAUCUACUAGGUGCAACACCAUCACAGGGCCAAAGCGAAUACAGAGCGGGGCGUACUCACCAGUCACGAGGGUGAAGAGGACUGCGCCCACGGUGCCGCGCAAUCCACGCACGCCGAUGACGAAUUGAUGCCGCCCUGCUCGCCGACUCGGUCCGCAAAUGGGCUGGUCUCCUUCGCAGCAACCUGGCGAAGGUCUUUGAGUCAUUUCCCGGCACUGGACAGCGACGGGUAACGCAAUCACGACGGCGGCGGCGGGUUCGUUUCCCUCGAUGAGCACACGACGAACUGGCGGCUGAAGUUAAACGGUGAAAAGGAGGGGGAAGAAGAAGACUCGGUCCAGUCCUUUAUAAGCGCGCGGGCGAUGGACUUGGGCACAACGUCCACAGCCAUGAAGAUCGCGAUGGCGCCCGCGGAGCUCGGGAUUCGGUUGACGAUGGAACUGACGAGGUCGGCCCACUGGUCAGUGCCACAGGGACGCGGGCGCGGAUGUGUGACCGAAUCGUGGAUAGCCACUGACAGAAGAGGGCCCGCAGGUCAGCGAAGGGAGGAAAUCCACAAGCGCCUGAGAGGAGAGGCUAACCUCUUGGGCCCGGGCUGUCGGCGCACGCGGGAUGGAGUGGGCUGGCACGGAGGGGGUUUUCUCUGGGUGGGCCGAAAUGAAAACUUUGGGCCCAGGCGCAGCAGUUCUUGUUUUCUUUUUUUAUCUUAUUUUCCUUUCAUUUUCCCAUUCAAAUUGGCUCCAAAUUCAAAUUCAAAUGUUUUGUGGCAAAUUUUAUCCACAGAUUAUGUUAUGUUAUGACAAGCUCUAGCAUGGGCAUAUAUGUAUAUAUAUUAUUUAUAUAUUUUUUUUAUUUCACAUGGUAUUUGUUUGUUUCUCUUUCCUAAAUUUUAGAAUCUCUUUUAAGUUUUGAAUUCCACUCUGGAUUUUUUUUACUAUAUUCCUUAUCACAAAAUGCACACACAAAAACAAUAUCCAGCAUGAUGCAUGAUUUAUUUGAGUGUCUUUUGUUAAUUAUUUAUUUGUUUAAUUGUGGUGUUCACAUGAAUUGAGAAACAUAGAUAACUCAUAUAUGUAUACGGAAUACAAUUUUUCUCUGCUUAGACUCUGUUUACAAAGUGGGUGUUACAAAUCCUACCCCCCUUAGAAACAUUCUCGUCCUCGAGAUUUAGGAAGAACGAGGGAAAAGAUGGGGAAAAUCUAUACGAAGCUCUUCUUCUCUUUCCCAUGUUGCUUCAUCCUCUCCAUGGUGACUCCAUUGCACUUUACACAUCUUUAUCACCUUAUUUCUUGUAACUCGAGUCAAUGUGUCAAGAAUCUUGAUCGGGUACUCCGUGUAAGUCAAAUCACCCUGAACACUGAGCUCUUCCAUUGGUAACUGUUCCUCAGGGACACGGAGACGCUUCUUCAGUUGAGAUACGUGAAACACGUUAUGCACAUCCGAUAGACUAGCAGGUAACUCGAGUUGGUAUGCCAUCUCCUCAACUCGCCUAAAGAUCAAGAAUGGUCCAAUAUAGCGAGGGGACAAUUUGCCCUUAACCUUGAAUCUCCUCAUUCCACGAAGUGGUGACACCUUGAGGUACACAUAAUCUCCUUCUUUAAAUUCCAGUGGCCUCCUUCUAUUAUCAGCAUAACUCUUUUGCCUGGUUUGAGCCACCCUCAAAUUCUCUCAAAUUAUACGGACUUGCUCUUCUGCUUCUUGAAUCAGUUUAGGCCCAAAGAACUGUCUUUCUCCAGUCUGAUCCCAAUAUAGAGGAGUCCUGCACUUCCUCCCAUAUAAAGCUUCAAAAGGUGACAUCUUCAGACUGGCCUGAUAACUAUUAUUAUGUGAGAACUCAGCAUAAGGUAGACUUUUAUCCCAACUUCCUCCAUGCUGAAGGGCACAUGCUCUCAACAUAUCUUCCAAUACUUGAUUAGUCCUUUCAGUCUGUCCAUCAGUCUGGGGGUGAUAAGAUGUACUAAAAUUCAACUUUGUACUCAUGUUCUCAUGAAAGCUUCUCCAAAAUCUUGAGGUAAACUGUGAACCUCGAUCAGACACGAUCUUCUUUGGUACUCCAUGUAAACACACAAUCCGAGCCAUAUACAACUCUGCUAGCUGAGAACCUUUAUAAGUAGUCUUCACAGGAAUAAAGUGAGCCACUUUAGUCAAUCUAUCCGCAAUCACCCAUAUAUCAUCAUAUCCUUUCUGGGUGCGAGGCAAUCCAGUAAUGAAAUCCAUACCAAUCUCUUCCCACUUCCACUCGGGUAUCUUCAGUGGAUGCAAUAGUCCAGCUGGCCUCUGGUGUUCAGCCUUAACUCUUUGACAUACAUCGCACAUAGCCACAUGUGCGGCCACAUCUCUUUUCAAUCCAUACCACCAAUACUUCCGCUUCAAAUCCUGAUACAUUUUGGUACUACCAGGAUGAAUAGAAUAAUCCGAGUCAUGGGCCUCCUUCAAUAUAGUCUCUCAAAGGCUUUCAAUAUCAAGAACACACAUCCUAUCCUUGAACCAUACGGUGCCUUGCUCAUCUUCCGUGAAUUCUGGACCUCGACCUUCAGUAAUCAAAUCCUUAAUCUCUUGUAUUUUCGCAUCACCAAUUUGUCCUUUGUGGAUUUCUUGCUCCAAAGUAGGUUCCACAUCAAUAGUAACUCCUUUAGUAUGAGCAACUAUCCCCAGGUUAAGUCUCCUAAAAUCCUCAACAAUCUCAUCGGGUAGCUGGGCAACAAUAGCUGAAUGAACAUGCUCCUUGCGACUCAAGGCAUCUGCAACCAAAUUCGCCUUGCCCGGGUGAUAGUGAAUAUCCAAAUCAUAAUCCUUAAUGAGCUCCAACCAACGGCGUUGCCUAAGGUUGAGAUCCUUCUGAGUGAAUAUAUACUUCAGACUCUUAUGAUCCGUAUAUACUUGGCACUUGGUCCCCAUGAUAUAAUGUCUCCAAAUCUUAAGCGCAUGCACAACGGCUGCCAAUUCCAAGUCAUGAGUGGGGUAGUUCAGUUCAUGUUUGCGUAACUGACGAGACGCAUAGGCAAUCACAUGUCCUUCCUGCAUGAGCACACAUCCUAAGCCUUGGCCACAUGCAUCACAAUAGAUAUCAAAUCCUUUCUGUAGGUCUGGCAUAACCAAUACUGGUGGCGACAUCAAUCUUUUCUUCAAUUGAUCAAAGUUGUCUUGGCACUUCUCGUCCCACUUAAAUUCUCUUCCUUUCUCCAAAAGCGAAGUCAUAGGUUUGGCAAUCUUAGAAAAUCCUUCAAUAAAUCUCCGAUAAUAGCCUGCUAAUCCCAAGAAACUCCGAAUCUCAGUAACUGUAGUGGGUACUCUCCACUCCAUUAUCUCCUUAACCUUAUCAGGAUCCACUAAUAUUCCUCCAUUAGAUAUGAUAUGACCAAGAAAUGGCACCUCGCCAAUCCAAAACUCGCACUUGCUGAACUUGGCAUAUAGCUGGUUAUCUGGUAGCUUCUGUAGCACCAAUCUCAGAUGUUCCUCAUGAUCACUAUCACUCUUGGAAUAGAUAAGAAUAUCAUCGAUGAACACCACGACGAAUCUGUCCAAAUACUCCAUAAACAUCUUAUUCAUCAAGUUCAUAAAAUAAGCUGGUGCAUUGGUUAAUCCAAACGACAUAAUAGUGAACUCAUAUAAUCCAUAUCGAGUCGAGAAAGCCGUCUUGGGAAUAUCCGAUGGUCUAAUCCUCAUCUGAUGGUAUCCCGAUCAGAGAUUAAUCUUCGAAAAUACUCUAGCACCUCUCAUCUGAUCAAAUAAAUCCUCAAUACGGGGUAACAGAUACUUGUUCUUCACAGUAACAUCAUUAAGAGAUCUAUAAUCCACACACAUCCGCUGUGAUCCAUCCUUCUUCUGUACAAACAGAACCGGCGCUCCCCAAGGUGAGGAACUCGAAUGAAUGUACCCAGCCUCUUGUAACUCAGUUAACUGCUUCUUCAGCUCCUUUAACUCUUCUACAGACAUCUUGUAUGGCCGUUUAGAAAUAGGGGCGGUUCCAGGUAAGAGAUCAAUAACAAACUCAACUUCUCUAUCAGGUGGCAUCCCUGGUAACUCCUCUGGAAAGACAUCUGGAAAAUCUCUAACCACACAGAUGUUGUCACCAACAAAGUCCUCAGGUAUAAAGAACAUUGCACGUUUGGAUGAGGUGGUUACUGCAAUAUUAACUUGAAAUCUUUCUCCUUUGGUGGUAGUGAGUUCUACGGUACCUCUACCACAUGCUAUAAUGGCCUUUGCCUUUCUCAACCAUGACAUACCAAGGAUUAGAUCUAUACUGCUUGACUCUAAUAUUAUAGCAGUAGCUCCAAAUUCUCUACCCAUAAUGGUCAAUGUCAAUCUACGUGUCAUUUGAUUCGCCUCAACAGGCCCUUUAGGUGUAAUUACUAUCAUUGGUUUUCUCAUAUUUAGCAGUGGUAUUUCAUUUGUGUUGGCAUAUCUAGCAGACAUAAAUGAAUGUGUAGCACCAGAAUCAAAUAAGAUGGUUGCAGGAAUUGCAUUAACAUAAAACAUACCAAGUACGAUGUCAGCACCAUCCGGAGUAGCAUCAACGCUGACUUGAUUAACCUUGGCAAUAGAAUAUCCCUUGCCAGAUCCUGGAGUUUGUUGCCUAUUCUAAACUGGAGUAGUAGCAAUCCUCUGUGGGCAGACAUUUGCAUAGUGUCCAGUCUUCCCACACUUGAAACACGUAGUGCCUGGACUCUGUCCUGAAAACUUCGUCGGGGUGCCAGUAGGGGUAGCCUGUCGAGGAGGUGGAGUCCUCAGAGGUGAUUACUGAACUAGGCGCUGGCCUCUGCCAGUGCGAACUGGUGUACCCUGGGGUGAACUGUAGCGAGGACGAACACUGUUGCUUCCUUGUCCUUGAGACAUAGCCUUUCUCUUCAAAUCUCCCAGUUGAACACGCUUGUGUUCAAUAGCCAGGGCCUUAUCAAACAGCCUCUGAAAUGAUGGAAAUGUGUGUGCCACUAGAGCAUACUGUAGUGGUCCAUUAAGUCCUUCAAUAAAAUGCUCCUGCUUCCUCUCAUCUUCAGCAACUUCAUCAGGGGCAUAUCUGGAUAACUGGAUAAACUUGUCGAGGUACUCGCUGACUGACAUACUUCCUUGCUUCAGCGACAGAAAUUCCUUCUUCUUAAUCUUCAUUAAUCCAGCUGGUUUAUGAUAAUUCCGGAACUGUGUACUGAACUCUGCCCAAGUGAUAGUAUCAGCGGCAUCGUGGGCAGCAGUAUAUGAAUCCCACCAGUCAGCAGCAGGACCUGUCAGACGUCCAGAAGCAUAUAAAACCUUCUCCCGGUCAGUGCAUUGUGCAAUAUUCAGCAUCUUCUCAACGGACUUCAGCCAAUCAUCCGCGUCCAGUGGAUCAGGAGAGCUUGCAAAUGUAGGUGGCUUAUGACUCAUGAAUUCCCUAUGCUUAUCACGGGAUGGAACUGGUGGUGGAGGUAGAGGCAGUGGUACUUGUUGCUGUUGCUGCUAUUGCUGUUGUUGUUGCAUUUGCUGUUGCAGCUGCUGUUGCACCCUCCUUUCUUGGCGUAUCUCCUCUCGCUCCUGGCGCAAUUCCUGGCUUAUCUCUUCUCUUUCCUGAUGCAUCUCCUGGCGUUCUUGCUGCAUCUGAGCACGCAUAUCUGCCAUAGUAUCCGCCAUUUGUUGCAUCAUCCUCAUCUGAGCAGCAAUCAGUGGGUCAACUCCGCCUGGUGGAGGAUUAGGAGGAUUCAUCUCUGCUGGCUGUGGCUGGGGUUGUCUAUAUAUCCACUGAGUGUGUCGAUUAGGAGGCAAAUCAAUUCCACCACCCCGCCUGGUAUUGACCAUCUGAGUUAGAUACAUAUGGUAAGAGAAUAGUAGACAAGGCAGGUAGUUACAAAUCGUGUUAUUUUGGGGGAUUUAUUAGCUAAGCAGAUUAAUAUUUUACCUAUCAUAGCUAAUUCAAUACCUUAUGGUGGUACAUGCUAAGAUGUCCAUCUAUAAUAAUUCAAUCAAUCAAAGAAGCAAAUCAAGCAUUUAUCAUCAGCACAAUCAACCAAUCAUUUUUAAAUAAAGAAAAUAGUUUUAAAUUUUGUCUUAGGUUCCCUAUCUCUUAAAAAGAUCAUAGUGGUAGGAUUCCAAGGUGUGAAAUCCAUCUUGUCUUAGAAUAGAGGAGGUAAGAAUGAUCAGAGUAGAACAGUAGAAGGUGAGACAGGAUCAAGAUAAGUAUAGAAAGAAUCAGAGUGAGAUAAGUAUAGAAUGAAUCAGAGUAAGGUAAGUAGGUAAGGGUUAUCCAUUUCUAUCUAGGUUUCGUCCUACAGUCAACAUUUCCUCUGAUACCACUUUUGUCACACCCGGCUUUAAGGAACAAAGCCAGGUGCAUCUCAUACAUGCGCCAAGAGGACAACAUAUAUAAUAACAGAGUGUAUAGAGAUAAAUGUCACAAAACAUCAGAGUAUUUAUUACAUAGCGGAAGACUUAUUACAAAAUAAAAGAAUAAAUAUAAAACGAACUAAGGAUCGACGGCGCCAAUGUCAAUUGAGAUACGCCACCUAGAUCAGAUCAAACUCCUCGCCUUGUGGUUCCUCCUGAACCACCUUUUCUUCUCCUGUGGGGGGGGUGUGAGACAGCAAGGGUGAGCUCACACAUGAUCAUAGCUCAACAAGUUGUGGGGAACCAGUGGACAUGAACUCACUAAGGUGGGAGUUCAUGUUAUGUGUAAGGCUAAAUCAAUGACAGGGAUUAAAGCUGAACAUUGCUUUUAUGUAGUUGGUCAAACUUUUAUUAGCAGUUACUAAAUGUAAGUAAAUACCAAACCUUAAGUAAAGUAAUAGAACAAAUUAAUAAUAAACCCAUGCAAUGCAAAUGACAAAAUUGAAUUUAAGUUCCAUAAUUUAAACAUCAGAGAGUCCUAAGCUGCUCAUGACCGUGAGCUUGGCUAGUAUACCAGUUUUACACUCUACAGAGGUUGUACCCUUUACCCACAAGUCAUGUUACCCAUCUGCCAAGGGGUCGCGACUCCCAUACACCUCUACCUAGGAAGCGUGACAGGGCAACACUAUGAGGCCUUUACAAAGUUCCACUAGCUUCCGAAAACCCGCUACAGUUUAUGGGAAGAGCACUUGCAAGAAUCCCCCGUCUAACCGCCAUCGCAGCUAAAUCAACCCGAGAACCUCCUUGCAUGCAACUCCCUACUGCCCUUGCCCCUUUCGGGUAAGGUAGUCUUCCACUAGCUUUCCUAAUUAGUCAGUCAAGGGCGUCCCAUUAAACCCUUAUGGUGGCACGUGUUUCUCAAGUUAAGCUCUAUGUUCCAAUUAAUGAACUUGACAUGAACAUAAAUAGAAUAACAAGAAUAAUUGGAACAUAGAUAUAAUAAAUGAUUAUCCCAAAACCAUGUAAAGCAAUAGCAAACUACCCAAGUGAUUCAGGGGUAAACAAGGUAAUGAGAUAAACAAUCUAGGGUGACCUAUCGGGUCCCAUCAAAAUUAACCUAUGCAUGAGUAAAUGAUAUUAAAGAACAUUAUUGGGUAAAAAGUGGUCAAGGGCACAACUUGCCUUCAAUGAGCUCCUGCUCAGCUACUUCUAUCUGCUGCUCACCAGGAUACUCAGUCACAGGCUCUUCUACUCGUCACAAUACAAACAAGCACAAUAUACAGGGAAAAUCAACAUCACACCAAACAUGUAAACAAAAUACACAGUAAUAAUCUACAUAUUAAAAUAAAAUCCUAGGAACAGGAAUCAUAAUUUUUGGAGUUAUAGAUUUUAAAUUAUGGAUUUUCAAAGGUUUUAUGUGUUUAAAAUAGGAUUAAGUGUGGGAUUAAUUUUCUUACUGUGGUCAUGACAAAACAGAGGCUUUAAGGGAUAGAAAAUAAAAUUACAAAAUCUUAGAAAGUGGAAUGGCUCAAUUUGGACCAAAAAUGGAAUUUCUAUGAGUUUUACAAGUUAUAGCACUUAUUUUCAUAUUAAAUAUUCAAUUUCUAAUUCAUUUAUAACAUUUAAAUGAGCUCUGGACCGGGCGCAACAUUUGCAGAAAAUACAGGGGUCUUGGGGGAACUUUCCCAAGACACAGCGCACAGCUAUAUAGGAUGGCGAGUUGAUUUCUAUAAACUACAGGGACUCUUUUGAAUGUUUGCUCGGCCGAAGGGGUACGGGGCGAUCACCGUCGUUGGAUUGGAUAUGGGCGCGCCAGAUUAAAACACUACUCCAGCGAACUGGUACUCAGUGUGACCCCUUGGAUUCAAAUCCGACGACCUAGAUUUUAAACACACAGAUCUCACCGUAGCCGCGGGAUAUGAGAUCUACGAUUCAUUUUCCCCACACGCGAGGGGUUACGGAAGAUCUAAUCCAAGCCGCAUAAUGUCGAUCUAACGGCUAGAGGCUUUCCCCCCACUCCCCUUUCUCCUACCGGCGUCAACACGACGGCGCCUGACUGAGGCACAGCGGCGCCAUUACCUCGGACCCGAAUCCCAUCACCCUGUGCCCGAAGCUCAAAUCUACUAGGUGCAACACCAUCACAGGGCCAAAGCGAAUACAGAGCGGGGCGUACUCACCAGUCACGAGGGUGGAGAGGACUGCACCCACGAUGUCGCGCAAUCCACGCACGCCGAUGACGAAUUGAUGCCGCCCUGCUCGCCGACUCGGUCCGCAAAUGGGCUGGUCUCCUUCGCAGCAACCUGGCGAAGGUCUUCGAGUCAAUUCCCGGCACUGGACAGCGAUGGGUAACGCAAUCGCGAUGGCGGCGGCGGGUUCGUUUCCCUCGACGAGCACACGACGAACUGGCGGCUGAAGUUAAACGGUGAAAAGGAGGGGGAAGAAGAAGACUCGGUCCGGUCCUUUAUAAGCGCGCGGGCGACGGACUUGGGCACAACGUCCACAGCCAUGAAGAUCGCGAUGGCGCCCGUGGAGCUAGGGAUUCGGUUGACGAUGGAACUGACGAGGUCGGCCCACUGGUCAGUGCCACAGGGACGCAGGCGCGGAUGUGUGACCGAGUCGUGGAUAGCCACUGACAGAAGAGGGCCCGCAGGUCAGCGAAGGGAGGAAAUCCACAAGCGCCUAAGAGGAUAGGCUGACCUCUGGGGCCCGGGCUGUCAGCGCACGUGGGAUGGAGUGGGCUGGCACGGAGGGGGUUUUCUCUGGGUGGGCCGAAAUGAAAACUUUGGGCCCAGGCGCAGCAGUUCUUGUUUUCUUUUUUUUUAUCUUAUUUUCCUUUCAUUUUCCCAUUCAAAUUGGCUCCAAAUUCAAAUUCAAAUGUUUUGUGGCAAAUUUUAUCCACAGAUUAUGUUAUGUUAUGACAAGCUCUAGCUUGGGCAUAUAUGUAUAUAUAUUAUUUAUAUAUUUUUUUUAUUUCACAUGGUAUUUGUUUGUUUCUCUUUCCUAAAUUUUAGAAUCUCUUUUAAGUUUUGAAUUCCACUCUGGAUUUUUUUACUAUAUUCCUUAUCACAAAAUGCACACACAAAAACAAUAUCCAGCAUGAUACAUGAUUUAUUUGAGUGUCUUUUGUUAAUUAUUUAUUUGUUUAAUUGUGGUGUUCACAUGAAUUGAGAAACAUAGAUAACUCAUAUAUGUAUACGGAAUACAAUUUUUCUCUGCUUAGACUCUGUUUACAUAGUGGGUGUUACACAAGAUCAUUAUAUUAUUGUUAAUUGGAACAUGGAGCUUAACUUGAGAAACACAUACCACCACAAGGGAGGAAUGAGACCCCUUGGCUAACUAAUUUGUCGGGGACCAUAAUUAGGGGUACCCUCAAGACUCCUAAUUCUCAGCUGGGAACCCCCAUCAGCAUAAAGCUGCAAAGGCCUGAUGGGUGCGACUAAGUCAGGGAUCAGUCCAUUCGAGCGACUCGAUCACGCCUCGCCCGAGCCUAGCCUCGGACAAGGGCGGCCGACCCCAGAGGAUUUCCGUCUCGCCCAAGGCCCCCUCCAGCGGCGAACAUAUUUCCGGCUCGCCCGAGGCCCUGCCUUCGCUAAGAAGCAACCCUGACUAAGUCGCCACACCGACCGACCAAGUCGCAGGAGCAUUUAAUGCAAAGGUGGCCUAACACCUUUAUCCUGACGCGCGCCCCCCGGCAGAGCCGAAGUGACCGCCGUCACUUCGCCGCUCCACUGACCGGCCUGACAGAAGGACAGCGCCGCCUGCGCCACUCUUACUGUGGUGCCAUUUGACAGAGUGAGGCUGAUAGGCAGUCAGGCCCCGCCGGAGGCACCAUAGGAAGCUCCGCUUCGCCCGACCCAGGGCUCGGACUCGGGCUCAGCCCCGGAAGACGGCGAACUCCGCUCCGCCCGACCCAGGGCUCGGACUCGGGCUAAGUCCCGGAAGAUGGCGAACUCCGCUCCGCCCGACCCAGGGCUCGGACUCGGGCUAAGUCCCGGAAGACGGCGAACUCCGCUCCGCCCGACCCAGGGCUCGGACUCGGGCUAAGUCCCGGAAGACGGUGAACUCCGCUCCGCCCGACCCCGGGCUCGGACUCGGGCUAAGUCCCAGAAGACGACGAACUCCGCUUCGCCUGACCCCAGGGCUCGGACUCCGCCCUGGCCUCAGCCGACGACCUCCGCCUCGCCCGACCCAGGGGCUCGGACUCGGCCUCGGCCACGGAAGACAGACUCGACCUCGGCUUCGGAGGAGCCUCCGCAUCGCCCAACCUAGGGCGCAGGCCAGCCACGUCAACAGGAGGCGCCAUCAUCACCCUACCCCGAGCUGACUCGGGCCACAGGGAACCAGACCGGCGUCCCAUCUGGCUAGCUCCGCCAGAUAGGCAAUGAUGGCGCCCCGCAUGCUCUGUGACGACAGCGGCUCUCAGCCCCCUUACGGAAGCAAGAAGACGUCAGCAAGGACCCAACCGCUCCGACAGCUGUCCCUCCGCCAGGCUCCAUCGCUCCUCCGACGGCCACGACAUCACACCAGCUGGGUGCCAAAAUCUCUCCGGCUGCCACGACGGCAUGCACUUAGGGAGCUAGCUCUCCCCCGCUAGACACGUAGCACUCUGCUACACCCCCCAUUGUACACCUGGAUCCUCUCCUUACGCCUAUAAAAGGAAGGACCAGGGCCCUCUUAGAGAAGGUUGGCCGCGCGGGGACGAGGACGAGAACAGGCGCUCGCUUGGGGCCGCUCGCUCCCUCUCCCGCGUGGACGCUUGUAACCCCCUACUGCAAGCGCACCCGACCUGGGCGCGGGACGAACACGAAGGCCGCGGGAUUCCCACCUCUCUCACGCCGGUCUCCGGCCGCCUCGCUCUUCCCCCCUUCGCGCUCGCCCUCGCGCUCGACCCAUCUGGGCUGGGGCACGCGGCGACAUUCACUCGUCGGCCCAGGGACCCCCCGGUCUCGAAACGCCGACAGUUGGCGCGCCAGGUAGGGGCCUGCUGCGUGUUGACGAAUAGCUUCCCGUCAAGCUCCAGAUGGGCAGUCUCCAGCAACCUCUCCAACCUGGGACGGUGCUCCAUUUCGGGAGUCUUGAGUUCAUGUCCCUCGACGGCAGCUACGACAUGAUACUCCUUCCACCGCCGCGCGACGACGACAAUGGCGGCUGGCAGCCCGCCUGCCGGCGGCGGAAUCGGCGACGUCUUCCCCGCAUGGUGGGAGAGCAACCUUCGAGCUCACCCCGUCCCCUCCCCCGCCGACGGAGGAGGAGGCGGGGCAACCAAGGCCAAGCAGGAGACAGCGCCUCGUCGGCUGUCGAGCGAGCCGACGGCCCCGGCACCCCAACGGGGGGCGCACCGGGCGUCGACCUCGCGUUUGAGACGAAGGCGAGUGCCGUCUCCCUGCGACACGCCAAUCCCGAGCAAGCGGACGACGCCAGCGCGCUCGCGGAGAGCUUGCUGGACGUCACCCUCGCACCUGAGACGACGGUGCAGUCAGUCCCCGACGUGACUUCAUCGCCGCUCGUCGACCAAAAGGUACCGACCGAUUCCCAUCCUACGUCAUUUGGAUUCAGCCUCAACCCGCCUAGCAACCUCGCUUUGGCGGACGCUCUCGUAAAGGCGAGUCCAAACCCUCUGGGGUUUCGCAUGCGGUCGCCUUGGGACCGGCUGACGGACGUCUCGACCUACGGGCCCUCUGGGUCCGAGGAAGACGACGGGCCCAGCAUCUGUUGGGAUUUCUCUGGACUUGGCAACCCAGUGCCAUGCGGGACUUCAUGACCGCAUGUGACUACUGCCUUUCCGACUGUUCCGACGGUAGCCGCAGCCUCGGCGAUGAGGAGUGCGGCCCAAGCCGCGAAUGUUUCCACGUCGAUCUAGGGGGUCCCUCCGAAGGCAAUCAUCUCGGCAUGCUGGAGGACGGUGAUCUCCCUAGGCCAGUGCCCCGCGUCGACAUCCCACGGGAGCUAGCUGUGGUCCCCGUUCAGGCGGGGGGCCAUGACCCACAGCUCGAGCAAAUCCGUGGGGCGCAGGCCAGGUUCGACGAGGAAGCAGGGGCGCUUGAGCCGAUCCGCCGGGACGUCGGGCAGGCAUGGGUGGGCCAACCCCCGGCCAGAGAAAUACGUCAUCUGCCCCAGGGUUUCCAGCACCGCGUCGCCGACGACGCCAGGGUCAGGCCGCCACCCGCAUCUAGUGGCGUCGGCCAGAACCAGGCUGCCGUAGCGAUGCUUCUCCGAGCGAUGCCGGAGCCAUCAACCACCGAGGGCCGGCGAAUCCAGGGGGAGCUCAAGAAUCUCCUGAAAGGUGCCGCGGUCCGACGGGCCGAGAGCUCUGCCUCCCGAAGGCAGGGAUACCCCUCGGAACCUCAUGCCGCGACUUCCCGAUUCAUGUGGGAAGCCUCGGUCUACACCGGACGCACGCGCAACACCGCGCCUGCGGCCCCGGGCCGCCUCGGCAACGAGCACCAUCACCGCGACCGUCGGGCCCACCUUGAUGAGAGGAUGCGCCGAGGCUACCACCCCAGGCGUGGGGGACGCUACGACAGCGGGGAGGAUCGGAGUCCCUCGCCCGAACCGCCCGGUCCGCAGGCCUUCAGCCGGGCCAUCCGACGGGCGCCGUUCCCGACCCGGUUCCGACCCCCGACUACUAUCACAAAGUACUUGGGGGAGACGAGACCGGAACUAUGGCUCGCGGACUACCGUCUGGCCUGCCAACUGGGUGGAACGGACGAUGACAACCUCAUCAUCCGCAACCUCCCCCUGUUCCUCUCCGACUCCGCUCGCGCCUGGUUGGAGCACCUGCCCCCGGGGCAGAUCUCCAACUGGGACGACCUAGUCCAAGCAUUCGCCGGCAAUUUCCAGGGCACGUACGUGCGCCCCGGGAAUUCCUGGAAUCUCCGAAGCUGCCGGCAGCUGCCGGGAGAGUCCCUCCGGGACUACAUCCGACGAUUCUCGAAGCAGCGCACCGAGCUGCCCAACAUCACUGACUCGGAUGUCAUUGGCGCGUUCCUCGCCGGCAACACCUGCCGCGACCUGGUUAGCAAGUUGGGUCACAAGACCCCCACCAGGGCGAGCGAGCUGAUGGACAUCGCCACCAAGUUCGCCUCCGGCCAGGAGGCGGUCGAGGCCAUCUUCCGAAAGGACAAGCAGCCCCAGGGCCGCCCGUCAGAAGAUGCUCCCGAGGCGUCAACUCAGCGCGGCGCCAAGAAGAAAGGCAAGAAGAAGUCGCAAGCGAAACGCGACGCCGCCGACGCGGACCUUGUCGCCGCCGCCGAGUACAAGAACCCUCGGAAACCCCCCGGAGGUGCCAACCUCUUCGACAAGAUGCUCAAGGAGUCGUGCCCCUAUCACCAGGGGCCCGUCAAGCACACCCUUGAGGAGUGCGUCAUGCUUCGGCGCCACUUCCACAGGGCCGGGCCACCCGCGGAGGGUGGCAGGGCCCGCGACGAUGACAAGAAGGAAGAUCACCAAGCAGGAGAGUUCCCCGAGGUUCGCGACUGCUUUAUGAUCUACGGUGGACAAGCGGCGAAUGCCUCGGCUCGGCACCGCAAGCAAGAGCGCCGGGAGGUCUGCUCGGUGAAGGUGGCGGCGCCAGUCUACCUAGACUGGUCCAACAAGCCCAUCACCUUCGACCAAGCUGACCACCCCGACCACGUGCCGAGCCCGGGGAAAUACCCGCUCGUCGUCGACCCCGUCAUCGGCGACGUCAGGCUCACCAAGGUCCUCAUGGACGGAGGCAGCAGCCUCAACAUCAUCUAUGCCGAGACCCUCGGGCUCCUGCGUGUUGAUCUGUCCUCUGUCCGGGCAGGCGCUGCGCCCUUCCAUGGGAUCAUCCCCGGGAAGCGCGUCCAACCCCUCGGACAGCUCGACCUUCCCGUCUGCUUCGGAACACCCUCCAACUUCCGAAGAGAGACCCUGACGUUCGAGGUGGUCGGGUUCCGAGGAACCUACCACGCGGUACUGGGGAGGCCAUGCUACGUGAAGUUCAUGGCCGUCCCCAACUACACCUACCUGAAGCUCAAGAUGCCGGGCCCCAACGGGGUCAUCACCGUCGGCCCUUCGUACAAGCACGCGUUCGAAUGCGACGUGGAGUGCGUGGAGUACGCCGAGGCCCUCGCCGAGGCCGAGGCCCUCAUCUCCGACCUGGAAAGCCUCUCUAAGGAGGCGCCAGACGUGAAACGUCAUGCCGGCAACUUCGAGCCAGUGGAGACGGUUAAGGCCGUCCCCCUCGACCCCAGCAGCGACGCCUCCAAGCAGAUCCGGAUCGGCUCUGGGCUCGAGCCCAAAUAGGAAGCAGUGCUCAUCGACUUCCUCCGCGCGAACGCCGACGUCUUCGCGUGGAGUCCCUCGGACAUGCCCGACAUACCGAGGGAUGUCGCCAAGCACUCGCUGAAUAUUCGGGCCGGAACCCGACCCGUCAGGCAGCCUCGGCGCCGAUUCGACGAGGAGAAGCGCAGAGCCAUAGGCGGGGAGAUCCACAAGCUAAUGGCGGCAGAGAUCAUCAAAGAGGCGAAAAGCGCCAAGCUCAAUCCUGGUCUUGGGGUUUAUCAUCUCCAGGCGGGGCAUCGAAGCCCACCCGGAGGGGAUUGCGACCACCGCACAGCACCCCGAGCCCUUGUUGGGGGCACCCGGGGGCUACACGCACCCCUGGGAAGGACCGCUUAUCACCACCAAAGUUCUGAAUCUCGGAACGUACAAGCUGGCCAACAGUCAGGGCGAGGUCUACGGCAACGCUUGGAACAUCCAACGGUUAUGUCGCUUCUACCCUUAAGAUGUUUUCAAGUUGUUCGUAUACCUCGCUCCCACGCAAGUCUUAGUCGUCAAGGAAGGGUCAGCCUCGCCUUGGCAGAGCCUGACCCUCCCUCGGGGGCUAAAAAGGAAGGAACCCCCCUUAUCGCUCUGCGUCAAGAUUGGGGAACCCCUCUGCGUCCAAAAUUUUCAAACAAAAAGGCUUUUACGUUCCCCCGGCUAUGUCAGAAGCAGGACCCCAAGGAGCGAACGUGGGUGCCAGUAAGUGGCAAGGCCGACCGAGCCGAGGUACUCCCAUGCCUCCGGGUUAGGGACAUCUCACUCGUCACCCGCCACGAAAAGUGACCCCUACUUGGGGAAGCCACCCUGCUACCGACAGGCGAAGCCGGACACGCAAAAUAAAAGGAAAAGGAGUGCGACUUCAUGCAACGGUAACAAAGUGUUCAGGCCUCAGCGGCCGCAGAAAGACACAUGCGCAUCCAACAGAAACUGUUCCAACAAGUUAGGCAUCGCCUUGGGAAGGAGUCGCGCCUUCAGCUCCGUCCCCACCUUCAACGAGGUCCAUAUCGGCUUCCGGCGACGGCGCAGGUGGGAGGAUCUCCGCCUCAAAGGUGGUCGCCAGCACUGUGCUCGGACCCGCGGCGGUCGCAUCGAGCCUCUGGACCUCUGCCAGGGCGGCUUCAUCUUCGUCGGGAAGGCAAUACCCCUCGCUAACCCGCUCCAGGUCCACAACGUAGUGGGAAGCGAGCACGGCGAAGGCCCGCCUGACGCCGUGGUGUAGCGCCUCGCGGAGUCUGCCGCGCACAUGAUCGCCCAAGACUUGGAGGCGACUUUGAGGGGAGCUUCCUGAGGGAACGUCGCCGAAGCCAAGGAUCCGGUAAACGUCCGAGACGGCUUCGGACAUGGCCGCAUGGUCAGCCUCCCUCUGCUCAGCCGCCCCAGCAAGCACCUCGGCAAGUGCCUUGGCGGACUCAUCAAGGGCGGACUCAAGCUCUGCGAACAGCCAGAAGAAAGAUCUCAAACACAAGCAGAGGAAACAAACAGGAACGAAAACCAAGGAUGGCCAAGGUGUACCUCCGGCUCGGGCACGCUGCUCCGAGGCUGCGACUUGGGCUACGGCUAAGUCGGCCGCAAGGGUUUCGGCCCGGCUUUCGACCUCGGCAGCCCGGCCCCGAGAUUGGUCCCGCUCCUCGACGACCCGAUCGAGCUCCGACCGCUGCCGUUGCGCUUCUGCGCGCGCCGCGGCCGCCUCCGCGCGCGCCGCUGCCGCCUCGGCUCUCAGGUCAGUGCAGAGCAACUGGAGGUCCGCUACCUCAGCACCCUGCUGAGAAAGGCGCGCAGUAGCCCCGGCGAGCGAGGUCCUCAGGGAUCGCAGCGAGCCCCAGACGUCGACCUCGCGGCGGAUGAACGACGACUUUGCGGCGCUCCGAUCCGUCAGAUCCUGAGGGAAGGAAGCGGGGCGUCACGAAGAACGCCUCGGUCACAAAAGAGAAAAGGUAUGCCUGAAACCGUUACAUGGAGGAUUUUGGGGAUGUCCCGGCAGAAAACCUCCAGUGACGACCGGAGCGACCCCGCCGUUGCUUCAGCACACUUGCGGAGCUCAUCCCAGGACUGGUCCUCCCGUUCAUCGUCGAGAACGAAGACGGGGUCCGAGGCCUCACGGGUCCAGAACCGGAGCAACUGGCGCCGGCCCUCGGAGCUCUGCCGCACAGCGACGAGGCUGCCGCCCGGCGGGACGGAUUGCGUCUCCAUGCCCCCCUCUUCCGAGGCACCAAGCGCCGACGCAUCAGCCGUCUCAACGUCGGCAGCAACCGAUCGCUCUCCGAUGGGGCGGCAACGACUUCAGUAGCGGCAGGCGCCGGCGUGGCCGGCACGUCCGGCGGGCUCGGGACCACAUCAGCAUCAGCCGCCUCCCCUAUCACAAUGGCCGCCCCGGCAGAAGAGCCAGCCUCGGGAACCUGCUCCACGGCGACCGGUGCCGCCUGAGCCCCCUGCGGUGGAACGCCUUGCGAGAAGGUCGGCUGGACGGCAAGGCCUGGAGCGGCGCUGGCCACGCAAGCCGGCGCCGUCUUAAGGGCCUUCCGGGGUGCCUAGUCGGUCAGGCCAUGGCUCCGCUUGCUGAGGGAAAAAGGAAAAUCACGGCCGGGACAUAUGAACAAAAAGCCAGGACGAAGACAUUCCGAGAUACUUACCCGCUCCGGGCCAUGAUCAACCGGGCCUGGGGGGAAGUCUCUUGGACCUCGACCCCCGGAACCACCGCCGAGGUCCGCUUCGCCGGCAGCUUCGGCACCACCCUUGCUUUGAGCGCCCUGGACGCCCGGGGGCGGACUGCCCAGGCACUGUCACGGCGACCUGAGGGUCGCUCCCCUGCGCUGCCGGCGCGGGUGGUGGCUCUCGGGGAGCAGACGCUCCGGCCUGGCCCCCCGGGGUCGCCUCAGCUCUUCCGGCCGAGGGGUCCGGUGCCCUCUCGGAUUGCCCCCGGCCCUCGGGCUGGGACCUCGGCGUCCCGACCCCGGGGACUGACGGCAUCAUCCCGCUCGGGGGCGGGUUUGACGGCUCCUGGCCAAACCCCAAGCCGGGGCUGAGGCCGAGGCGUCCAGCCAUGUCGUCCUCCUCGUCAUCAUCUUCAUCAUCGUCGUCGUCGUCGGGCGUUUCCGGCGACGGCUCCCUUGAGAGCCCCUCCCUCUCCUGCCGGCGACGAAGCUUCUCCAAGGCGUCUCGAGCCCGCCUCCGCUCACGGGCCCGGGCCUUUUCCGCGUCUUUCUUCUUCUUCUUCUCCUCCGCGGCGACCCGCCGCGCUGCUCGGUCCACCGCAUCCUGCGAGACCCGUGGCAGGGAAGGCUUGUGCCACCCCACCUCCUGAAGAAGGAGGAAAAACCCAACCGUAAGGACCAGGAGCAACCCGAUGCAAGAGGAAGGAAGAAGCGGACACUCACCAGGGUCACGCACCCUUGGUCUGGGCGCAUCAAAAGCUGGGAAUAGGCGGUGGGGUCCGGCUUCCCCAACGCGACGGACACCCGCCCGUGGAGGGCGUCGAAGGGAAGAGGAUCAGAGGACAUCCGCGAGCCCUCCAAGUCAGCCUCUGGUGUCAUCUCCCAAAGCGACAGCCGUCGCUCCGCCAAGGGAAGCACCCUCCGACGGUGGAUGGCGGCAAUCACUCCCGCAGCGGUGAGUCCCCCCUUCCGCAACACCUCCAAGGCCUGGAGAAGGGGUUCGAGGUUCUUUUAUCUUUCGUGCGGGGUCCCGUGGCGCCAAUCGUCGGCGGCAGUGGUGACUACUCGCUGGGAGAACGGCGGGAGCAACUCGCCGUCAUUCCGGAGGUAGAACCACCGGUGCUGCCACCCCUUGUUCGAGGACGCGAGGAUGGCAGGAAUGUACAGCGACGCCCGCGACUGCCUCAGCAGGAGGGUGCACCCGCCGGCCCGCACCGCUGCGCGGACUUUCCUCUCCCCCGUCGGCGAGGCAAAAAGCUCCGCGAAAAAGAGAUGGGUCCACAAAUCCCAAUGGGGGGGCGAUCCCCAAGUACCCCUCGCACACCGCUACGAAGAUGGCGGCCUGCGAGAUGGAGUUGGGGGUGAGGUUGUGCAACUCCACCCCGUAGUGGUGCAGGAUCGCCCGCAUAAAGCGGCCCGCCGGCACACCGAAUCCCCGCUCGUGGAAGGAGACGAAGCUCACGAUGUACCCCGGCGGUGGGGACGGAGCGGCUCCGCCCACAGGAGGAAUCCAUUCCGGUCGCUGCUCAUCGGUGAGAGGGCGAAGUAAACCCUCGCCAACCAGAUCCUCCAGAUCACUCGCCGUCACCGUGGAAAAAGGCAAUGGAUCGCGCGGCGAGAUGAUGGUCACCCGGUCAGCCAUCACCAAGCGGAAGGGAUGGCGGCGCAAGGGGCAGGAAGGGCGGUUUCCUCUUCUCUGGCUAAGUCUCUCGGGUUACGAAAACCUAAGAAGGAGGCAGGAAGCGGAGCAAAGAACCAUCACCAGACCCUCUCCCGGGUAUAUAAAGACCAAGGCGAGACCGGUUCAAACGUUCCGCCUGGACCGGACGCGGGAUUCGAAAACGCAAAGCAAACAGCCGUUCCUCGGACGACUCGUGCACGCGCAACGAUCGCCUCGCCAACCACUCGCCCCGUCGCAUUAACUCCGCGGCGGGACAGGCGGCGCCUCUGGCAGGAGGAGCGGGCGACGCUUCGCCUUCGCCAUAAUGACCGCGCCAGUAAAGGUACGCCGCGUCGUUCGAUUUCGUAUCCUUUUCUUUUUUCCUCUUUCUCUCUCUCUUGCAACAGGGACCGGGAAAGGGGGAUACCCCGAAAAGGGUCCUUCCCCGUGAAGGAACCAGGCUCCGAGCCUCCCUACUAAUCAGAGGUUCGAAGGCUGGCCCCCCGAAGGGUUCAACAGCCGCCUCAGAUCGCGUGGGCCCUACACCCACUACUGGUCAGAGGUUCGAAGGUCGGCCCCCCGAAGGGUUACACGGCCGCCUCAGGCUACUCGGGCUCCGUGCCCAUUACUGAUCAGGGGUUCGAAGGCUGGCCCCCGAAGGGUUCACAGCCGCCUCAGACGCCGAGCGAGGGAUGACCAUGGGUACGUUCGAUACAUAACCAAGGCUCGGGCUGCGCUCCCGAGGUACCCUAGGACAUUUCCGAGACCAGCGGGAGCGAUCUUGUAACGGAAUCCCAUCAGAGGGAGGCAUCGAGCCCUCGGACCCCAUCGCUAGGGGACCGGGUCCGGCAGAUCACCCGUAGGUACUUUUGGGCGUGCCUCUGGGCCCCUAGCCGACCCCUAACGAACGGGGCACGGACGACCACUCGGAUUACCCGCUUGCAGCUCACCGGAGACACCAUGUUCGGCGCCCAUCGAGGGCAACAUGGCGCUUUCCCCCCUCCUCCUUGCGGAAAGGCGACGCAGGGGCGUAUGUAAAAAAGCCGAGUCUGUCCCUGAUCGCCCUCUCGCCCUGUGCAGAGGCUCGGGGGCUGCUCUCGCAAACCCGGCUCCGGCCGAACCGUUGACAGCGUCAACAUACCAGCCCAAGAACUUGGGACCCGACCGUACACCCGGGCUACGGCCAGCUUGCAUGAGGGAACAACCAGACCAGCCGAAGCAUUACGCGAGGCAUUAAGACCUCGGAGGAGUGAAACCACUCCUCCGAGGCCUCGGGGGCUACACCCGGCGGGUGCGCUCGCGCGCACCCACCGGAACAAAACGCAACCGAGAAAGGCUGGUCCCCUUGCAAAAAAGUGCGACGAAAGCCUCCAAGCGAGUGCUAACACUCCCUUCGAGGCUCGGGGGCUACUGUCGGGGAACAUAAUUAGGGGUACCCUCAAGACUCCUAAUUCUCAGCUGGGAACCCCCAUCAGCAUAAAGCUGCAAAGGCCUGAUGGGUGCGACUAAGUCAGGGAUCAGUCCAUUCGAGCGACUCGAUCACGCCUCGCUCGAGCCUAGCCUCAGACAAGGGCGGCCGACCCCGGAGGAUUUCCGUCUCGCCCAAGGCCCCCCUCCAGCGGCGAACAUAUUUUCGGCUCGCCCGAGGCCCUGCCUUCGCUAAGAAGCAACCCUGACUAAAUCGCCACACCGACCGACCAAGUCGCAGGAGCAUUUAGUGCAAAGGUGGCCUGACACCUUUAUCCUGACGCGCGCCCCCCGGCAGAGCCGAAGUGACCGCCGUCACUUCGCCGCUCCACUGACCGGCCUGACAGAAGGACAGCGCCGCCUGCGCCACUCCGACUGCGGUGCCAUUUGACAGAGUGAGGCUAACAGGCAGUCAGGCCCCGCCGGAGGCACCAUAGGAAGCUCCGCUUCGCCCGACCCAGGGCUCGGACUCGGGCUCAGCCCCGGAAGACGGCGAACUCCGCUCCGCCCGACCCAGGGCUCGGACUCGGGCUAAGUCCCGGAAGACGGCGAACUCCGCUCCGCCCGACCCAGGGCUCGGACUCGGGCUAAGUCCCGGAAGACGGCGAACUCCGCUCCGCCCGACCCAGGGCUCGGACUCGGGCUAAGUCCCGGAAGACGGCGAACUCCGCUCCGCCCGACCCAGGGCUCGGACUCGGGCUAAGUCCCGGAAGACGGUGAACUCCGCUCCGCCCGACCCCGGGCUCGGACUCGGGCUAAGUCCCAAAAGACGACGAACUCCGCUUCGCCCGACCCCAGGGCUCGGACUCCGCCCUGGCCUCAGCCGACGACCUCCGCCUCGCCCGACCCAGGGGCUCGGACUCGGCCUCGGCCACAGAAGACAUACUCGACCUCGGCUUCGGAGGAGCCUCCGCAUCGCCCAACCUAGGGCGCAGGCCAGCCACGUCAACAGGAGGCGCCAUCAUCACCCUACCCCGAGCUGACUCGGGCCACAGGGAACCAGACCGGCGUCCCAUCUGGCUAGCUCCGCCAGAUAGGCAAUGAUGGCGCCCCGCAUGCUCUGUGACGACGACGGCUCUCAGCCCCCUUACGGAAGCAAGAAGACGUCAGCAAGGACCCAACCGCUCCGACAGCUGUCCCUCCGCCAGGCUCCAUCGCUCCUCCGACGGCCACGACAUCACACCAGCUGGGUGCCAAAAUCUCUCCGGCUGCCACGACGGCAUGUACUUAGGGCGCUAGCUCUCCCCCGCUAGACACGUAGCACUCUUCUACACCCCCAUUGUACACCUGGAUCCUCUCCUUACGCCUAUAAAAGGAAGGACCAGGGCCCUCUUAGAGAAGGUUGGCCGCGCGGGGACGAGGACGAGAACAGGUGCUCGCUUGGGGCCGCUCGCUCCCUCUCCCGCGUGGACGCUUGUAACCCCCUACUGCAAGCGCACUCGACCUGGGCGCGGGACGAACACGAAGGCCGCGGGAUUCCCACCUCUCUCACGCCGGUCUCCGGCCGCCUCGCUCUUCCCCCCUUCGCGCUCGCCCUCGCGCUCGACCCAUCUGGGCUGGGGCACGCGGCGACAUUCACUCGUCGGCCCAGGGACCCCCCGGUCUCGAAACGCCGACGUAAUUAGGAAAGCUAGUGGAAGACUACCUUACCCGAAAGGGGCAAGGGCAGUAGGGGAGUUGCAUGCAAGGAGGUUCCCGGGUUGAUUUUGCUGCGAUGGCGGUCAGACGGGGAAUUCUUGCAUGUGCUCUUCCCAUAAACUGUAGCGGGUUUUCGGAAGCUAGUGGAACUUUGUAAAGGCCUCGUAGUGGAUCCCUAGCCAUUCACCUUGGUAGUGUCUAAGGGCCUAGCUAACCCUGGCGACAUGGGAAACACGACUUGUGGGUAAAGGUUACAACCUCUGCAAAGUGUAAAACUGGUAUACUAGCCGAGCUCACGGUCAUGAGCAGCUCAGGACUCUCUGAUGAUUAAAUUAUGGAACCUAAACUCAAUUUGUCAUUUACAUGAGAUUUUUAAUUUUGUUCUAUUAUUUUAUUAUGCUUUGGUAUUUACUUACAUUUAGUAAUUGCUAAUAAAAUUUGACCAACUUAUAAAAGCAAUGCUCAGCUUUAACCUCUAUUGUUGAUCAGCCUUACACUUCAUGAACUCUCACCUUUGGUGAGUUCAUGCCACAUUAUUCCCCACAACUUGUUGAGCGAUGAACAUAUGUGAGCUCACUCUUGCUGUCUCACACCCCCACAGGUCAAGAACAGGUAUCACUAGUUGGCGCAUGGUGGAGGUUGCGCUGUGUUCAUGAGAGGUCUAGGUCGUCGUCUCCCAGUUGACUUUCUGGCGCCAUGGAUGGAUUUUAGAUCCUGUUAUGUUUAUCCUUUAUUUUUGUAAGUCUUCCGCUAUGUAAUAAAUACUCUGAUUAUUGUGACAUUUAUCUCUAUACACUCUGUUAUUAUAUGUGUUGUCUUUUUUGGCGCAUGUAUGAGAUGCACCCGGCUUUGUCCCUUAAAGCCCGGGUGUGACACACUGCCAGAUAUAUCAAUGUCUGUUAUGGAAAUUUUUUAGUUUAUCAGGAGAAUGGAUUGCUAUCC
Molecule: long non-coding RNA, 26739 nt
Filed under: Zea mays
Lineage: Eukaryota; Viridiplantae; Streptophyta; Magnoliopsida; Poales; Poaceae
Description: long non-coding RNA (ZMAY_LNC005516)
Source: RNAcentral